GCCCCAGAUAGCAGGGGCAGUGCCAGGGGGCCGCAGGAAGUGGGGCUGAAGACUCUGUAAUUCUAAACCAUCUGUGUAAACACAGCUUCAGGUCCAGCCCCUGUGUUCAGUCCCCGCCCCAUAGUCUGCAGUCCCUUCCCUGUACGCAUAAUCCUUUGAACUAACAUUUUUUGGCAGGAGACUCUUCUCCUGGAGGCUCACAGCUGGAGGCUUCAGUCCUGGGAGACUUCCUGGGGCAGGUGACACUUGAGCCUGGGAAGGCAGUGACCAAGGAGCAGUCUGGAGAAAGGCCAACAGGAGGGAGCCUGAAGGCUCCUGGGAACAGGUCUGGCAGGGGAGGGUCAGGAGGGGCCAGGGUUCCUGAUACAUACAAAAUGCCACUCAACCUCACCACCUGUCACCUGUACAUUCAGGUUUCAGGGGAAUUCAACACUCAGGUCUCUUGUCCAGGUGACCCUACCAGGCAGGGUCCCUGUGAGGUUGAGCUCAUCUCUAGUGUCCCUGUAUUUGUUCUGCUUCCUGCCCCGUCCCCACCCCCAUCAUCCUGUGGUGUAAGCCUGGAAUCACUGAGGUCACCCUGCCCCAUUUUUCUUCUGUAUAGACAGCGGCCAAAUUUUCUCUGAAAUUACUGGCCACAGGGUCUGCAGUGUGGCCUGCUGCUGUGGUCUUGGGCAUUGGUAUCGUUGCCAUCUCAGGGAUCACCUUAUACUCCUCGAAUAAGAGGAAAAUGAACUGAGAAUGGUAAAUCGGAUUGACAGAAAUCCUCCCCAUUGCAGCUCCAGAGGCAUCUGCAGGGCUGAAGGGUCCAGCUAUUUGGGAGAGUGCCGCUUCAUAUUUUAUAAUUUUAUAAUAUUUUAAAUGAUGAGACUUUGGUUGAUUGACCUUUUACUUUUCAGCAGCCUCCUCCUCCCCUGCCAGUAUUUUUAAAUAAAAAGUGCCAAGCUUGGCAGACAUAAUUCAUCUGAAACAAAACUUCAACUGCUAACCUCUCCAGAGACUAAGUAAAUAAUCCUAAGAAAAUAAAGAUAGUGCUUUAAAAGCUUUAAAA
Long non-coding RNA from Pteropus alecto (black flying fox), 1048 nucleotides. RefSeq lists it as uncharacterized. The transcript is spliced from 2 exons. The record is from RefSeq and is a predicted model, not a curated record. NCBI's taxonomy places the organism in Eukaryota, Metazoa, Chordata, Mammalia, Chiroptera, Pteropodidae.